UCUCCGAGUCGGUCCCAACUCCGCCCGCCCGGCCCGGCUCACGUCACCCGCCUUCCCCGCCCCUCGAACCGGAGCCGAGCCCCCGGCCGGCUCUGGCUCCCUCUUGCCGCCCCGCCUCGCCGCGAGGGACUGUGCCUGGCCUGGGCGACACCUCAGGCGGGGCUCCGUCCGCCCCUUCCCCAUCCCUGGCCGCGUCCGUGUCCCCACCUUGGGAAAGGCUAGAGAGAGGCCGCAGGCUCCGAUUGGACCGCAGGGCACCGCCGGUUGGUGUUGCCAGGGUAACCGGCUGGCAUGCGAAGCAGGUCGGGGUUCAGACCCGGUUAUGGGGGAUUCUGCUGGGCCCGGGGCCCUAGCAGGUGGAGUCCUUGCGUACCGGCCUGAGCUUCAGGGCUUCUGCCCGAACCCAGCGCCGGCCUGUGUCCCCCCCGGUUAUCCACAGCACGGGGCUGAGCAGCCAGCAGCCUCCUUGCUCGACCGCAGCAGCUGCCUGGCCUGGCCCUUGCUCCGGAGUCACUGGAAAGUUCCAGGCGCCUCGGCUCCCAGACUCUCCGCCAGCGUGUCCCCGCCCCCAUCCCCAACCAGGACUCCUCCUUGCCCACCCCGUUAGGCUGUAUUCCCAAGGCAGGAGUAAGGGAGCCAAGGCGCUGGCUGGGGACCCUUCCCCAGAAAGUGACAUUUAGGAUUCUCUGCCGACUCCCUGAGAAACCCACACAAAGCCCUGCUGCCGGGCUGCAGGCUGAGGGCAGUGCGCGCCCGAGCGGUGGGAGUCCCGCUGGUGCAGCCUCGUGGGUGAACAGGGGAGCCAGGUCCAGGGACGGGGGAAGAGGCUACGACCCCCUGCACAGGUGCUUCACCCAGGUAAGCUCUGGAGUCACUCAAGCGCAGGUGAGAGCAGUGAGGCCUCCCGGUGAGGGGCAGCUGGUGGGUGGCAGAGCUGGGGGACCAUGGCUGGCCUUUCCUCACUGGACGUGUGGGGCAGGUCCACUGUGCCCAGGCAGGAGCACCAGGACACCUGCUUCCCCAGGUAAGUGAAGCAUGGUUGCAAGAGUGCCAGCCUGACAUGGCUAGGCCACGGGCCACUGCGUACCCCCGUGGGGCCCUGGCCACACUGUCUGACCCUCAGUUUCCCCAUCUGUGGGACGGUUCCAUGGUCCCUGCCCCGCGGGGCUUUGUGAGGAGUGAGAAGGCCUCUCCCCAGGUGACUGUUAGGGUCUGUGAGCUGGUCUGGGGGCCAGCAGGGUGGGUCAGCACGUUGCCCGCCUGGCCACUUGUGGGUCAGGUCAUCCUCCCCUGGAGCCGGGGCGUGUGAGGGCCCAUCCCAUCCCGGAGGCGAGACGGGAAGGUCCUGGAACCACGUGCGGCCCAGGUAGCAGCAGGGAAAGGCCCCUCACUGCUGCCACCUAGCGGGGACAAGCGGGAUUGCGGCGGGGGAGGGCCUUCUUGCUCCUGAGCAGCCUUGAGGGAGGGGACAGGUGGGCUGGGGGCGUCCGGACCCUGUCUGUUCCAGGAACCUCUUCCCCAGCCUCGUGGACGCCGGCUGACCUCUCAGAACACUUUCAAGUGCAUUGACUACAAAGCACAGGAUUAUCAGGAAACCAAUUAUGUUGAAAUGCAUUAUCAAAAGAGUAAUAAAACAAAUGUCUAAAAUAGCAA
This is a non-coding RNA of Microcebus murinus (gray mouse lemur), 1653 nucleotides long. NCBI's taxonomy places the organism in Eukaryota, Metazoa, Chordata, Mammalia, Primates, Cheirogaleidae. The record is from RefSeq and is a predicted model, not a curated record.